Non-coding RNA from Arachis ipaensis, 429 nucleotides. The record is from RefSeq and is a predicted model, not a curated record. Lineage: Eukaryota; Viridiplantae; Streptophyta; Magnoliopsida; Fabales; Fabaceae.
GUGGUUUGUUUCGCCGCUCACCAUCGUCUCUUCGUCGUCCUGCUCUCCAUCAAAGCAUGCAUUAUUGGUCCCAAAGGAGGAAGACUACAUUGAAUGGUUUAAAAAUGCUGGCUUCAAAGACGUCAAGCUUAAAAGGAUAGGUCCAAAGUGGUACCGUGGUGUGCGGAGGCAUGGUUUGAUCAUGGGUUGCUCUGUGAUUGGUGUGAAACCAUUUUGUGGAGACUCUCCCCUCAAGCUUGGUCCAAAGGUAGAGGAUGUGAAGAAGCCUCUGAAUCCACUUGUGUUUCUUUCUCGAUUAAUUCUUGGUGCAAUUGCAGCCACUUAGUCCAGAGGCAUUUGCUUCAAAUUUUAGGAUUAAUGUUUCUGACUUGAUUAACUUCUUUGUUUUCCAUCCUUUGUGAUUGUUACUUGUAUCUCUGGAAAAAAAAA